Molecule: transfer RNA, 70 nt
Filed under: Mionectes oleagineus (ochre-bellied flycatcher)
Lineage: Eukaryota; Metazoa; Chordata; Aves; Passeriformes; Tyrannidae
Description: tRNA-Phe
Rfam family: tRNA
About the family: Transfer RNA (tRNA) molecules are approximately 80 nucleotides in length. Their secondary structure includes four short double-helical elements and three loops (D, anti-codon, and T loops). Further hydrogen bonds mediate the characteristic L-shaped molecular structure. tRNAs have two regions of fundamental functional importance: the anti-codon, which is responsible for specific mRNA codon recognition, and the 3' end, to which the tRNAs corresponding amino acid is attached (by aminoacyl-tRNA synthetases). tRNAs cope with the degeneracy of the genetic code in two manners: having more than one tRNA (with a specific anti-codon) for a particular amino acid; and 'wobble' base-pairing, i.e. permitting non-standard base-pairing at the 3rd anti-codon position.
Source: RNAcentral
GUCCCUGUAGCUUACAACAAAGCAUAACACUGAAGAUGUUAAGACGGCUGAUUCAAUACACCCAAGGACA